ACGAUCAGAGCGUGAGACUUCACAUCUGGAGCACAGGAGACAUUCUGUGAUAAGUCCUCCUUCUAGCUUGUCCCACAAGCAGUCGAGCUGAGACACUCAGGACUGAACAGACUGCACAGUUUCUGUGACUGAGCCUCCAAAACACCUUCUUUGAAACCACUCAUGAUAGAAGGGCUUUAUAUUUGCAGCAGCACUACUACAGUUGGCAGGAAUGUUGCUGCAGGAAAACAUCCCUGGAGAUCACCAUCAUUGUCAGACUGACUGUGCCUCCUCUGUGCAGUGUCAAGAUCCUCCCUAAAUGAGUGUUUCUCAGCUAUCCUGCUUCUGUGCUGCUUGCCACACAUCAAACUCUGGCCGGAUGACAGGGAGGAUCCACUCUGAAGUCACUGGACAUUAUGAGGAUCAUAUGGGACUUCAUAGUUUCACAGUAACAUUGUGCUCUGUGAUUACAGGUUUUAAAUGGAUACAAUGACUGCCUCUCUCUGAUCAACAGGCUAAAGGAUUGUUUUCAUUGUUAGUGCUCUGUACAAUGUAUGCUUAUUUAGUAUUUCAUCACAGAGCAAACCUUUAUUUAUUUAACAUAUUUUUAUUUUGUUUUAAUGUUGAAUUAACUGUAGGGAUUUUUUUAAGUGGGCACUCGGGAUGUCAUAUGACCAGAAAUGUGGUA
Molecule: non-coding RNA, 667 nt
Organism: Maylandia zebra (zebra mbuna)
Lineage: Eukaryota; Metazoa; Chordata; Actinopteri; Cichliformes; Cichlidae
Source: RefSeq, a predicted model, not a curated record